GGGGGUGACCGGUUUCGACUUCGGCAUGUCGUGCCAGGGGAAGCGGGUCGAGGACUGCGGACAUAACCUCGUUAAUCCUGUGACCGCAAAACAAUAAGUGCCAAUAACACGCGCACUCAGGGCCACAUGGCCCUCGCCGCCUGAGCGAGGUCUAGGCCCUUGUCAGCCCGGGAUCGCCUCCGGCCCGGAUCUGGCAUCGCUAGGAGGCUCAACCGCUCGCCCCGGUCACGGGGGCGAUAGGGAAACCUAACAGUGACUGAGCCCGUCGGCGACUCGCCUGCGAGAUCGCCGGGGCCGAGAAAAGCGCUGCAGGCUGCACCCGGAGAAGCCCUGACGCGGUGUUGAAGGACGCGGGUUCGAUUCCCGCCACCUCCAC
Molecule: transfer-messenger RNA, 376 nt
Filed under: Sphaerisporangium melleum
Lineage: Bacteria; Bacillati; Actinomycetota; Actinomycetes; Streptosporangiales; Streptosporangiaceae
Rfam family: transfer-messenger RNA
About the family: Bacterial tmRNA, also known as 10Sa RNA or SsrA, is named for its dual tRNA and mRNA-like properties. Its role is to liberate the mRNA from a stalled ribosome.
Source: RNAcentral